Amphiprion ocellaris (clown anemonefish) is the source of this 2138-nucleotide long non-coding RNA. NCBI's taxonomy places the organism in Eukaryota, Metazoa, Chordata, Actinopteri, Pomacentridae. The record is from Ensembl.
UGAAGCCAUUAGGAGUAGUUAAUGGUCUUUCCUGGUGUUGGUAAGUAACACUGACUAAUUGACCAGGGGCGGCAGAUCGCUUUCACCGACUCACAGCAACAGGUGGUCUCCGCUGCAGACGGACGACAAACAAGAUUCACUCUCCUGAAGGCUGAGCCCAAUGGAGCAGAACAGUUAAUGUGGCGGAAAUUUAAAGAGAACAUCACAAGUAUUUGUGCUUAUUUUGUUGGCUGACAAACAGUUCGGAGGACUUUGGGGUUCUUCACUGGAAAUAUCAGGAGUUUGAGGGAUUUCAUGCUCACUUUGCUCCACUACAGAGUCCACAUCUGUGCCACACAGCGUGGUUCAUCAACAUCAACAAAUGCAUCCACACGCCCACCCGCAUGUCUUCACUCCAAUCCUGCACACUUCCUCAACCAUCCUACCAGCUCCAACUGUGAUGGGAACUCAGGACAGAAAUUUCAACAUGCAGCUUCCAACACAAAUGACAUCGAGGACCUCUUUUGCUCCAGUCAGUGCCUUUAAAACACCAACACAGAAGUCUGUCAAACCACCACAAAUGCAGCAAAGACCCAACCGUCUACAUCAAGGAUAUUGUGGAUUCUGUUUCUAUUUCAAAUCCCGAGGGAGAUGGGGUGCACUGCAUGUCUGUAUCGCAUGGAAAAUUCACUACCACAAACAACUCAAGCAAAUGCUGCAAAAACCCAACAGUCUACAUCAAGAGAAUCCUGUCACCAGUUUACCCGACUCAGUGCAACACAAGGAAUCACAGCAGCCCUCCUGCAUGCAUCCGUAUUUGGACUUCUCAUGUGGACACAAUGCAUUUGGAAACACGUGUGAAAGGAGUGAAACUGGCAGAAUAAACCACAACAGAAGUUACCCUUCUGACGUUCGCACACCUUCACCAGCGUCUUGCCACAGUCGUGCAACAAAGAGGGAGCAGCCGGACCAGCCUCCAAACCUGCACUGGAGGGAGAAACCUGAUGAGAAGGAGAAACACAGGAGCUGUCAAACCGACACAAUGAAGGAUUUAUGUCUUACAGAGAAAUCACAGGACCCAAAGGUGACUCCAGAUCUUGUUGGCAGACACAGCAGCUCAGUUUACAGGAAAAGGCAGCUUGAGUGUGAAAGCUUCAUUAAAGUAAAGAGGGCGAAGCAGGAAAUCCUGGAUAACCAGUUUAGUGGUUCUAAGAAUCUGCACUCUGAUCAAUCUCCACUUAUUACGACUCACACACAUCCAGCUUCACACAUUGUACAAAGGCAGCAUAUGAACUUAAGUGAUUUAUCUGUCUUGCAUCCUAACAGCAGUAGAUGCAGCAUCUCUUUUCCAGUCACUGAACUGGAUCCCUACAAAGCUACUUCAUGGGACCAAAUGUUAGACAUUCACAGGAGAAUGGAUCUUCGUGAUAGACAAAAUGUGCUCAAAGACUACUCACUGAAUUCCUGCAAAGUAAUCAGGAUACCUGCUGCAGCUCAGAGGCAACAAAAUGCUCUUUAUGGUUUCUAUGCACCCCCUCUGUAUUUCCCUCCGGCUCUGAGGCAGCAGGAGAUCGUUUACCUGAGAGGAAGGGAAACACUCGCAUCAAGAGAUGUUUCACUACCACUGCAGACGUCACCGCCCUCAUCCUGGCAUUCUGGAAACGUCCUACCCGGAACUGUAAAUCUCAAGGGACUAUCUGAUAAAAAAGGAGAGCAGAUAUUAUCACAACAACAAUCACUCAAUAAUAGUUGAGUUCAGUGUGCAUCGUUUCAGUAGCGCUCCAUGCUGUCCCAAAUGUGAAAACCCAGAGAAAGUGGAGAGCUUUUGAUUACAGUCAAGUAUUACUAACAAAAGAUGCACAAUAGCUUUAGAUAGGGAAAGAGAAUUGUGAAUAAAGCUUGUUGUCCUGGAUAUGUGACUUUCUUACAAUAUGAUUCCCAUGUAAAACUGGUUCUUUCAUUAAACUCAUUAACAUUACUGUGUUUGUUCUUUUUUUGUUUACAUUAAGCUCAGAAUUUGCCAUAAAAAAGCUAAUGUUUGGAGUGAGACAAAUGCUACCCAAAUGUAAAUUUUAAUGGAGGUAAAUCAUAACUAAUUAGUGUAAUCAUUGCUAUGUAACAUGGCUAGGGCGGCGAGCACCAAUUUGAGCUAAAUGUUA